UAAUACGGGAGGCAGCAGUGGGGAAUAUUGCACAAUGGGCGCAAGCCUGAUGCAGCCAUGCCGCGUGUAUGAAGAAGGCCUUCGGGUUGUAAAGUACUUUCAGCAGUGAGGAAGGUGGGUAUGUUAAUAGCAUACUCAUUUGACGUUAGCUGCAGAAGAAGCACCGGCUAACUCCGUGCCAGCAGCCGCGGUAAUACGGAGGGUGCGAGCGUUAAUCGGAAUUACUGGGCGUAAAGCGCAUGCAGGUGGAUGAUUAAGUCAGAUGUGAAAGCCCGGGGCUCAACCUCGGAAUAGCAUUUGAAACUGGUCAUCUAGAGUACUGUAGAGGGGGGUAGAAUUUCAGGUGUAGCGGUGAAAUGCGUAGAGAUCUGAAGGAAUACCGGUGGCGAAGGCGGCCCCCUGGACAGAUACUGACACUCAGAUGCGAAAGCGUGNGGAGCAAACAGGAUUAGAUACCCUGGUAGUCCACGCCGUAAACGAUGUCUACUUGGAGGUUGUGGCCUUGAGCCGUGGCUUUCGGAGCUAACGCGUUAA
Molecule: ribosomal RNA, 534 nt
Filed under: bacterium A6T_VP7_C4
Lineage: Bacteria
Description: bacterial SSU rRNA
Rfam family: Bacterial small subunit ribosomal RNA
Source: RNAcentral